Molecule: long non-coding RNA, 1540 nt
Organism: Pelobates fuscus (common spadefoot toad)
Lineage: Eukaryota; Metazoa; Chordata; Amphibia; Anura; Pelobatidae
Exons: 2
Source: RefSeq, a predicted model, not a curated record
CCUGCUCUAGCUUGGAGCCUGGUACAGCCUUGCUCUAGCUUGGAGCCUGGUACAGCCCUGCUCCCAGUCAAGGACAGACCAAUAUUCUGUGUUUGACAAGUCAGAUCUCAUGCUCAUGGCCACCAAACUUAUUUGCAGUGGGUUUUAGAUCAGGAGGAGUUCAUACAUAUAGGGAGUUUCACAGAACUGAGGAGAAAUACUGCUAGAUAAUUAUAAAAACUGCUGACCGGUUUAUAAACAUGUGCACACAACAUGCAGUUGUAUAGCAAGUGUAAAGCGUUCGUAAAUUACCAACGAACAAGCAGCUUUUUGCAGAAUUCUAGAGUUAAGGAAGUUUUGUGUCAGGAGCAAAAUACAAAAAUACAAACUGACAAAGAAAUCAGCCAACAGCAGCGAGACUAACAGUAAAGCUAUUUAUACAAACUACUGAAUAAUACUGAAUAAUUUCCUUAAUAUAAAAGGACAAGAAUACUACGUAUCCAGCAUUAAUGUAGCUUUGGCAAGGUCCAUUGCCUAUUUGGCUUAGGUGGGAAGAAAUACAGUUUGACCAUGCCACCCAAACAGAAUAUUUGCCAAAAUGAAAUCAGAGCAGUGGUCCUAUACAUAGAACUAUAUUGUAAACGUAGAUUAAACUUUUUAAUGAACCCUACAUACACUAUUUGCAUGGCUUGACAUGUACCCAUGGAAGCAAAGCAGGGUUCAGAUCCAAAAAGGCUCAGUUUGGGGUUUUAUACUGGACUAAUAGGUCAGGAAUAAGACUCAUGUACAUUCACCUGUAUUUACGCAGAGGGACACCCUAAAGACUUGAAUUACUGGGGGGAUCCUGAUGGCUGGCUUUAAGGCCUAAAUGACCUGUGUCACACAGAAACUGUGGGUUUGCAAGCUAAAGCACAAUACACUCUCCCUCCUCACCUUGUAGUGUAACUGACAUAUUUCACCUUCUUUUCUAUUCAACCUCCUUAGAGGAAAAUAACCUUGACUUUAUUCCCUCUUUCUAGAUCUCCCUGUGUGUGUGUGUGUCUCAGAACACAAAGCACUGUUGUUAAUGUACAGAAAACCCCACUUUACACUGGAUGUGUGUCUGCAUUCGUACGCGUCCCGUCACAUCAUCCCUAUAAACGUUAACCUUUUUUGCUGCUGGUGCACACAGCAGAAUACGCUGUUUGCUUAUCCCCGCCUUUCCACCCCACCCAUUUUGUACAAAUGUUAAAAAAACAAAUGAAAAAGAAAAAAAAAGAGAAAUAAAAAUGUGAAAAAAACACCAAUACCAUAAAUCGAAAAUUGACGUCUUAAUGUGUCUUUCAAUUGUGCUGAAUUUUUCUGCUCUCGUUGUUAACAGUUUUAUACAUUUUUUUUUUAUAAAUUAUUUUAAGUUGCUCUCCUACUUCUUCUACUCACUCAUGCCUUUUUUUUUUUUAAAGAAACAAAAACUGAAAUUCAACUUUUCUUUUUUAUAUUCAUUCCUCUAUUGUCGCUCAGAGUAGCGUUUGGUAACUCCGCACUGUGACGAUCCAGUAUUAAUAAACCUUGUACUGUAUAA